This is an RNA transcript of Anopheles stephensi (Asian malaria mosquito), 5603 nucleotides long. It is a transcript of the gene named nucleolar protein dao-5-like, with no coding region annotated. NCBI's taxonomy places the organism in Eukaryota, Metazoa, Arthropoda, Insecta, Diptera, Culicidae. The record is from RefSeq and is a predicted model, not a curated record. The transcript has 6 exons.
AUAAACAGCCAACUGCGUGUGUCGCGCUUCCAAGGCACGAGCGGGCCGAUCAUUCCUCCUGCAGUCAUCGUGUUGUGCGGUGCUGUCCGAAUCUGUUCCUUCGUUCUCAUCAAAAUGGCUGCCCUCAGUGAUGCUGUUCUCGAUGCGCUGGUAUUCGAGCAUCUGUCGAAGAAAGACAAAACUUUUGCCGCUGUAUUCCAGAAAAAGUUCAAAUCGCCCUCGUUGCCGAAAGGUGCACCGAAGCUAGAUGAAAUAGUUAAGCACUAUCAGUCCACGAAACAGAAGCUUUCGGCCAGCAGUAAGCAGCAGCCGGCUCAGGAUGACGAUGAAGACGAGGAAGAAGAGUCCGACGAGGAUGAGGAGGAGGAAACUCCGGCUCCAGCAGCAAAUGGCAAAGCGCUAAACGGCAAGAAGGCGGCAAAUGGCAAAGCCGCGGCCAAAAAAGCACAGGAAGAAUCGGAAGACGAGGACGAUGAAGAUGAGGACGAGGAUGACGAGGAUGACGAUGAAGCGCCGGCCCCAAAGGUUGGUGCAGGCGUGAAAGCCAAAUCGAAGGUGACACCCCUCGUUAAAAAACCACAGCAGGAAGAAUCUGAUGACGAGGAUGAGGAUGACGAUGAGGAUGAUGAUGAGGAUGAUGAAGAAGAGGCGCCUGCACCACCGAAGCAGCAAAAGUCAGCCAAAGUAGCUGGACAGAAACGUAAAGCACAGGACGAGGACGAAGAAGAGGAAGAUGAUGAAGAUGAGGAGGAGGAUGAGGAAGACGACGAGGAGGAGGUGGCACAAAAGCCAAAAGCAGCAGCGACAAAGAAAGCCAACAACGCCGACAAAGCGAAUCAGCAACAGAAGAAUGGAAAGGCCAUCGUUAAUGGAAAACCUAUGACGAAUGGGGUACCGGUUGUGAAUGGAAAUGCAACACAAUCGGGCAAGAUGGGAGCUACCGUGGCCAAGAAGGCAGAGUCGUCGGAUGAUAGCUCUGAUGAUAGUUCAGAGGAGGAUUCAAAACCAGCGGUUAAAAAACCUGCUCUAGCUGCCACGCCAAAUGCCAAGACUCCUCCAGUAAAGGCGGCGACCCCAGCAGCUGCAGCAAAGAAACAGCAGGAUGAAUCCAGCAGCGAGGAAGAUUCUUCUGAUGAUGAAGCACCGGCGAAGAAGCCAGCAGUAGCUGCGGCGAAAACCCCGGCGAAGACCCCUGCAAAGGCACCAGCUGCUGCGGCAAAGAAAGCAGAGUCGUCGGAAGAUAGCUCUGACGACAGCUCAGAGGAGGAUUCGAAACCAGCGGCUAAGAAACCGGCUCUAGCUGCUACGCCAAAUGCCAAGACUCCAGCAAAGAUGGCGACUCCAGUAGCAGCAGCAGCAAAGAAACAGCAGGAUGAAUCCAGCAGCGAGGAAGAUUCUUCUGAAGAUGAAGCACCGGCGAAGAAGCCAGCAGUAGCUGCGGCGAAAACCCCUGCAAAGUCAACGGCUGCUGCAGCAAAGAAAGCAGAGUCGUCGGAUGAUAGCUCUGACGACAGCUCAGAGGAGGAUUCAAAACCAGCGGCUAAGAAACCGGUUGUAGCUGCCACGCCAAAUGCCAAGACUCCAGUAAAGGCGGCGACCCCAGCAGCAGCAGCAAAGAAACAGCAAGAUGAAUCCAGCAGCGAGGAUGAUUCUUCUGAAGAUGAAGCACCGGCGAAGAAGCCAGCAGUAGCUGCGGCGAAAACCCCGGCGAAUACCCCUGCAAAGGCACCAGCUGCUGCAGCAAAGAAGGCAGAGUCGUCGGAUGAUAGCUCUGAUGAUAGCUCAGAAGAGGAUUCGAAACCAGCGGCUAAGAAACCGGCAGUAGCUGCGGCGAAAACCCCUGCAAAGGCACCGGCUGCUGCAGCAAAGAAAGCAGAGUCGUCGGAUGAUAGCUCUGACGACAGCUCAGAGGAGGAUUCAAAACCAGCGGCUAAGAAACCGGCUCUAGCUGCUACGCCAAAUGCCAAGACUCCAGCAAAGAUGGCGACUCCAGUAGCAGCAGCAGCAAAGAAACAGCAGGAUGAAUCCAGCAGCGAGGAAGAUUCUUCUGAAGAUGAAGCACCGGCGAAGAAGCCAGCAGUAGCUGCGGCGAAAACCCCUGCAAAGUCAACGGCUGCUGCAGCAAAGAAAGCAGAGUCGUCGGAUGAUAGCUCUGACGACAGCUCAGAGGAGGAUUCAAAACCAGCGGCUAAGAAACCGGUUGUAGCUGCCACGCCAAAUGCCAAGACUCCAGUAAAGGCGGCGACCCCAGCAGCAGCAGCAAAGAAACAGCAAGAUGAAUCCAGCAGCGAGGAUGAUUCUUCUGAAGAUGAAGCACCGGCGAAGAAGCCAGCAGUAGCUGCGGCGAAAACCCCGGCGAAUACCCCUGCAAAGGCACCAGCUGCUGCAGCAAAGAAGGCAGAGUCGUCGGAUGAUAGCUCUGAUGAUAGCUCAGAAGAGGAUUCGAAACCAGCGGCUAAGAAACCGGCAGUAGCUGCGGCGAAAACCCCUGCAAAGGCACCGGCUGCUGCAGCAAAGAAAGCAGAGUCGUCGGAUGAUAGCUCUGACGACAGCUCAGAGGAGGAUUCAAAACCAGCGGCUAAGAAACCGGUUGUAGCUGCCACGCCAAAUGCCAAGACUCCAGUAAAGGCGGCGACCCCAGCAGCAGCAGCAAAGAAACAGCAAGAUGAAUCCAGCAGCGAGGAUGAUUCUUCUGAAGAUGAAGCACCGGCGAAGAAGCCAGCAGUAGCUGCGGCGAAAACCCCGGCGAAGACCCCUGCAAAGGCUCCAGCUGCUGCGGCAAAGAAGGCAGAGUCGUCAGAAGAUAGCUCUGACGACAGCUCGGAGGAGGAUUCGAAACCAGCGGCUAAGAAACCAGCUCUAGCUGCCACGCCAAAUGCCAAGACUCCUCCAGUAAAGGCGGUGACCCCAGCAGCAGCAGCAAAGAAACAGCAAGAGGAAUCCAGCAGCGAGGAAGAUUCUUCUGAAGAUGAAACACCGGCGAAGAAGCCAGCAGUAGCUGCGGCGAAAACCCCGGCAAAGACCCCUGCAAAGUCACCGGCUGCUGCGGCAAAGAAAGCAGAGUCGUCGGAAGAUAGCUCUGAUGACAGCUCAGAGGAGGAUUCAAAACCAGCGGCUAAGAAACCGGUUGUAGCUGCCACGCCAAAUGCCAAGACUCCAGCAAAGAUGGCGACUCCAGUAGCAGCAGCAGCAAAGAAACAGCAGGAUGAAUCCAGCAGCGAGGAAGAUUCUUCUGAAGAUGAAGCACCGGCAAAGAAACCAGCAGUAGCUGUGGCGAAAACCCCGGCGAAAACUCCUGCAAAGGCACCAGCUGCUGCAGCAAAUAAGGCAGAGUCGUCGGAAGAUAGCUCUGAUGACAGCUCAGAGGAGGAUUCGAAACCAGCGGCUAAGAAACCGGUUGUAGCUGCCACGCCAAAUGCCAAGACUCCAGUAAAGGCGGCGACCCCAGCAGCAGCAGCAAAGAAACAGCAGGAUGAAUCCAGCAGCGAGGAAGAUUCUUCUGAAGAUGAAGCACCGGCAAAGAAACCUGCAGUAGCCGCGGCGAAAACCCCUGCAAAGUCACCGGCUGCUGCAGCAAAGAAGGCAGAGUCGUCGGAAGAUAGCUCUGACGACAGCUCAGAGGAGGAUUCGAAACCAGCGGCUAAGAAACCGGCUCUAGCUGCCACGCCAAAUGCCAAGAGACCGGCAAAGGUGGCGACUCCCGCAGCAGCAGCAAAGAAACAGCAGGAGGAAUCCAGCAGCGAGGAAGAUUCUUCUGAAGAUGAAGCACCAGCAAAGAAGCCAGCAGUAGCCGCGGCGAAAACCCCUGCAAAGGCGCCAGCAGCAACAGCAAAGAAAGCAGAGUCGUCGGAAGAUAGCUCUGAUGACAGCUCAGAGGAGGAUUCAAAACCUGCGGCUAAGAAACCGGCAGUAGCCGCGGCGAAAACCCCUGCAAAGUCACCGGCUACUGCAGCAAAGAAAGCAGAGUCGUCGGAAGAUAGCUCUGAUGACAGCUCAGAGGAGGAUUCGAAACCAGCUGCUAAGAAACCUGCUCUAGCUGCUACGCCAAAUGCCAAGACUCCAGCAAAGAUGGCGACUCCAGUAGCAGCAGCAGCAAAGAAACAGCAGGAUGAAUCCAGCAGCGAGGAAGAUUCUUCUGAAGAUGAAGCACCGGCGAAGAAGCCAGCUGCUCCUAAGAAUCCGGUAGCGGCAACCGCUAAACGGAAAGCAGAGUCGUCAGAUGAAUCAGACAGCUCGGACGAAGAACCACCAGCCGCAAAGAAAGCUGCGUUAUUAAAUUCCUCCACUCCGAAGGCUGCUGUAAAAGCAGCAAAGGAAGAAUCGUCUUCGGACUCAGAAUCGGAGGAAGAGGAGGAUACAGGUUCCGCAAAGGCGAAACAAUCAGCUAAUCAGGUGGGCCAGAAAAGAAAGAUGGAAGAACAGGAACAGAGCAAUCCACCAGCAAAGAAAGUGAACAACUACAGCAACUUUGUACGGGCCAGUGAUCAACAGGAAAGCCACGAAAACAACCAGUUUCAAACUCCACCACAAAAAACGCCACUCAGCAAACAGAAUGGUGGUGGAAGCGCUAGCAGCGGUUUCGGCAGCGGCCACAAAUCGUUCACCAACAGCGAUGAAGCGCGUGGCGUAAACCGAUUCCGACGCGUGCGCGAGGAAGAAAUCGAAAUUGACCAUCGGCUAAAGGAUAACUCGUACGAAGCUAAGCCACCAACCGCUGCAAGACCGCGGCCAACCAUACCAAACGAACGGCGCGGUGAGUGGAAAUGUAGCUCCUGCGAUGCAGUGAACUAUGCGGUGCGGCGACUCUGUGCAAACUGCAAGCUGGCACGCACGUCCUGGAAGUGUCACGAAUGUUACGAGCAGAACGUGGUGAACGAUCCGUUGCAGGAUGCUUGCCAAGUGUGUACAACUACCGCACCGUACGUCUCCGGACGGCAGCUGGACGAGCUGAAAGGACAGUGGAAGUGUCUGCUGUGUGAACGGUGGAACAAGGAGAGUUUUUCCACGUGUUUCUGUGCCAAGCACACUUUCGUAGAGAGUGUGAAAACCCGAAAACGCACGCGCGUUGCCUUUCCGGUGAAGCUGGGCGAUUGGCAUUGUGCCGAUUGUGGUAAUCAUAAUUUUGCCAAAAACUUGAAAUGCAAUCGGUGCUACGCCGUGAAACCGGUGACGGCGGACACACUCGCCACUGAGUAGCGGGCAGAACUCGGUACAGAAACACGCCGGUUGAUCGCCAAUUUUUUAUUUUAUGCAUUUCUCAAACUGCCAAAAUGGCUACGGCUCGUACGGUGAACGGGCAAACCAGAUCCUAAAGCACACCAAGGGCAAAUCGUUCCGUGCGGAAAAGACGAAAAAGAAGCGUUCCGGAUACACGGGAGGACUUAUCGAUACAUCGGUAAAUUCCAUCAAGUUCGAUGACUAGAGUGUUGCGAUCGCUGCCUGGGUUGGCGAGAGCUGCACACAGCAAGGAUUUUACCUAUAUAUGUAUAUGUUGCUGUUUAGGUUAAGCAAAGUUAUGAAAGCGGAAUAUAGCCGUUGCACGUGGCGUCACGAAAAAAAAAUAUCUCAAAUUGAGGUGCGUGCAGCAUCGCGAAGGUACCAAA